Molecule: long non-coding RNA, 453 nt
Organism: Oreochromis niloticus (Nile tilapia)
Lineage: Eukaryota; Metazoa; Chordata; Actinopteri; Cichliformes; Cichlidae
Exons: 3
Source: RefSeq, a predicted model, not a curated record
GAAAGAGCCGCUCACAUCAGGAGAACAUUAAGUAUUUGUAGCGUGUGAUUCCCUUGUGUUUUCAGUCUGUGAAACAGCUGUUUGUCCCUUCACCAGGCAGUGAUGGCAGCAGCAGCGUUCAGGAGCAGAGGACUGGCUGGUGUCAGAAACAGCAACGUUUUAAUCCUCAUCUUUCUGCUGUCCCUGGUUUAUGUCACAAAUUCACUGACGAAAGCAGAAUACAAGAAGAAAGAAGCAAGUGAACUUGAUGAAAAACUACAGUUUCUUCAAUCUUUGGAAGAACUAAUAAAGACAUCGUCAGUUUUUGAGGAUUUUCCUGCAAUGAUGGACGUAGUAAAUAGUUUGAGACGCUUCUACAAGAGAACCAUCAUCCCAUCAGACAGAGAGGAAGAAGAAAAAUGGUGAAAAUGGGGAAAUAAAAGAGGAAAACAUGAAAAUCAUCCUAAAACUCAA